GAUGAACGCUGGCGGCGUGCUUAACACAUGCAAGUCGAGCGAAAAUAAUUGGGAGCUUGCUUUUGAUUAUUUUAGCGGCGGACGGGUGAGUAACGUGUGGGUAACCUGCCUUUUACUGGGGAAUAAUCACUGGAAACGGUGACUAAUACCGCAUACGGUUCUUGGAAGGCAUCUUCUGAGAAAGAAAGGAUUUAUUCGGUAAAAGAUGGGCCCGCAUCUGAUUAGCUAGUUGGUGAGAUAACAGCCCACCAAGGCGACGAUCAGUAGCCGACCUGAGAGGGUGACCGGCCACAUUGGGACUGAGACACGGCCCAA
Molecule: ribosomal RNA, 315 nt
Filed under: uncultured bacterium
Lineage: Bacteria
Description: bacterial SSU rRNA
Rfam family: Bacterial small subunit ribosomal RNA
Source: RNAcentral